Long non-coding RNA from Peromyscus californicus insignis, 3246 nucleotides. RefSeq lists it as uncharacterized. The record is from RefSeq and is a predicted model, not a curated record. Lineage: Eukaryota; Metazoa; Chordata; Mammalia; Rodentia; Cricetidae. The transcript has 2 exons.
GGCGUGGUGGGCACCCGUUUCCUUGUGUAUGAGCUGGGGUAGAGUGGAGUGAGAUCUCGGGCUGCUCCUUAUCUGGGGGGCAGGCUGUACUUCAACCUCAGGGGUGCUGAGAGUGCAUGAGCUGACUGUGUGGUGCUCCAUCGAGGUAGAACUCGAGCCAGUGUCUAAUUUGGAGCCUGUCAUAUUUUGGGGGCUUAUGGGGCUCUCUGUUGAAUGGAUGAAGACUUCAGGGAAUCACCUAACUAUUAACUUGUGGUCUCUGGUAGUUUUAUUCUAAGGCUGUUAUGUCCUUGACCUGGUGAGCUUGGCUUGGUGACGUCACUGAAUUGGCACGGAGCCAUGUCCUGGAAGGCACACCUGCCUGGGUGGCACUUGGAGACUAAGACAUUAGUCUACAGCAGCAGCCCUCGUCCCUCCCUGGACUAAGGGGAAGUAGGCAGAAUUUUGGCUCUGAGAAAUCUCUAGAAUUCUGUUGCAGAGUCUUUAUAAUCUGCUGGGGGGUAGGCAGUGGGUGCUAUGGUUUGAGAGGUGGCCAAGGUGUGAUUACUUUGGGUUUGUGGUGCUCUGACUGAUCACAGUUGAAGAAUCUAGAAAUGAAUCCGUUUCAACCUGAGCUAGAGAGAGAGAGGGGCCAAUUCUAAACUGGGACUUCAUUUUGGGGGGGGGGGGUUUAAUCUCCUCAUCCACAAGCUGCCAAACUACCCAACUUGCUGCUUGAGGUGCAGGGCCUAACCCCAUGGUGCCUGGAUCCCAUUGCUGCCUCACAGGAGAGCUCCCCGUCCCGCGGGUGAUGUGGUACGGUCCCCCUUAGUCUAAGAGGCCUACCUCCAGGGAAGCAGAGGAACUCCAGCCCCUCCAGUGUAGCCCUGGGCCCUUCCUUCCGCCUCUUAGCGCCCUCGCGCCCUAUCACUUUGGCAGGGGUAAGGGGACAAGGGAAAGGGUAGAGAUGAAUGAAUUAAUUUCAGGAUUAUUGCUGUACAUGCAGCCAGCAGCCCCUGUAGUGGACCGUGUCUAUAAAUAUAAAGUCAUAAUAAUAAGGGGUUGCGUUUAUAAAGCACACUGAAGUCCUCAGAUAAAAGGCAGUUUAUUCCCGUUAUUGUUCUCAUCAUUAACAGGAGUCAGUGCCUAAAGUGGAAUUUAGCAAUUUCAGACAACAGAGAAAUUGCCUGUAGGAAAACAAACUCCGUGCUUCAGCAAGCAUUCCCUGGCGGACGAAGCCCUGGGUCCAAACUGGGAACAAAAGUGCUUCUGAUAGCAUUUGAAUCUGCAGCUCAGCGCUUUGUGGAGCUGGCUGCUGCCUCCUUUUUGUCCCCCAGAGGUCACUGUGGAAUACAGAUAUCAGGCAGAAAUGUGAUUACAAGCGAGUGCUAGAAGAGAGGCCUGCUAGCUCACCAAACUUCAUCUGUGAGCAGAUCCUCUGGGCCCCAGCUCCUGCGCUCAUAGCCCACAUAUGCCAUAGGUGGCGCUGUUGGCCAGGAGCUCUGUGACUAGUGGAGCAUUCUAGCACCCAAGGGCAGGGGUUGGGGACAUUUUUGAGAUGCUGUUGGAGGCAAGGUAGGAUGGGAGUGGUACCCUAGGAGGAGGGCUUCCCACAGAGGGGAAAAAAAUGGUAUUUUGGUGCUCACUUUGGAACUGAGUUUCUGAAUCCUAACCAGGCUCAGCCUGCCCCCUGCAGGUCCCUCUUUUAGGAAGUAGGCUGGAGAGGCCACCAAACUUAACCAGACCUUUGCUGUGCCUAAUGGAAUUUCUACCUUCCAACUGGAGAAAUAGUCAAUGCCUGCACUUCCAGCCAUCCAACAAAACACAAGUGUUUUAUAUGAGCAGGGUUUAAUUUUUUAGAAUACUUUUAGAAUCUCUUUCUUGAUCAUCACACCAUCCAGAGGUGGACAUGAAGCCUAUUUAUUCUUAUCUCUGUAUUAAUGGUUGUAGAAAUGCAUAUAAAAGUCAGCACAAAGUGACCUAUGCAGAGAGUGUGGCCUUCUCGCUCAGGGCCUAUGCAUUUUCAGUGCUUCCACCUUUCUUCACCUGGAGGUGUGCCCUCGUUUUAAGAUUCUAGAAUGUGGCUCCUGACCACAGCUACACAUAGUUGCCUUGUUGGUAUCUGCCUGGCCCCUGCAGAACUGAAUGUUGCUUGAAGAAGUUGAUUCCAGUGUCUUGUGGUAGACUAGUCCUUGGCCCCGGGUAUUAAUAACAUGAAUCGGGAAGGAAGAAACCAUUUCUACAGGAUCCUGGUGUGGCACCAUCUGGUCCUGAUAAGCAUGUUUGUGUAAGGAAGGUUCCGUGUCUCAGCCUGGAAACUGGCAGCUGUAAGUGGAAAGAUAGAGUAUUGCUGAACUAGGGAGACUGGCUUAGAUCUAGCCUCUGCUAGGCGUCAACGGUAGAUUCUGGCCAAGUUCUCCUCACUCGUGAGAAGCAUGCUUACACUACCUCACGAUGGUUUGAGGAACCUGACAUAGAUACUUUAACUGCAGGCUUUAUUAGUGAGCAUUACUAGACGACAGGACUCCAUGCUCAGACAGCUUCCAGACAGACUCGGUGGGACUCCCUUUGGUAGGACUGAGAACCUUGAGUGUGAGCCUGUUCAUGGGGACUCUAUGGGUCCCCGGAAGGAACUGUGUCGUUUGCCUAGUGCCUGAGGUCUAAGCUUUACCUGCUGCCACUCUCAGGGCAAGACUGGCUGGAGACCUCUCUGGAUACCUGCCAAGCCAGUGUGCAGGCUAGAGGAGUGUGGGGCAGGGUCUGUGCGACUGUCCACAGCAGUCUUGGCCCUGCCUCAGCUCUCCUUCUGGGGCUUCCACCGAGCCUAAUCUGUACCCCUUGUCCAUUCACAGUGCAGGGGGUGGCAGGGAAUUGGGCAGGGGUCGCAGGGAAUUGGGCAGGGAGUUGCAGGGAAUUGGGCAGGGGAUACAAGCGGAGUGGGACAGAAAGGCACUCUGAGUUUUCCAGAAGCACAGUGGGUUCCUCUCAUCCAGGUCCUGGUGAAAAAUUCCAGUUCAGUUAUUGUGGUGGCAGACUCUAAGUGUCUGCCACCUUUGCUGGCCAGACCAGGGCCCCAGGAAAAGCCCUCACUCAGCCUGAUGGCUAGGAAGAGGACGAAGCAGGCAUUCCAGCCAUGCAGGCAGAUGGAUCGCCUUUCCCUGGGGCAGAGCUUUGGAAAAGAAAGCCACUCGCCUUACCAUUAGGAUCCCCAGCCCCCACUCCUUUUGAACUGUCAGUCUUUAAAUAAACAUUCUUUUCCUGCCUUGA